Molecule: long non-coding RNA, 1084 nt
Organism: Mesocricetus auratus (golden hamster)
Lineage: Eukaryota; Metazoa; Chordata; Mammalia; Rodentia; Cricetidae
Exons: 2
Source: RefSeq, a predicted model, not a curated record
ACCAGGCUGGCCUCGAACUCACAGAGAUCUGCCUGCCUCUGCCUCCCAUGUGCUGGGAUUAAAGGCGUUCGCCACCAACGCCCGGCCAAAAUACGGAUCUUAGAAAUAUUUGUUUUGUUCAGGUUUUGUAUUACUUGAAAUGUUAGUCAUUUUUUACUAGGUCAUGUAUGGAAUCUUAUUUUACGUCCCUUAGUAGGUGAACAGAUUUGUGGUAGAUUCAAAAUGCAAUGUUCUUGCUUAACUUGAGUAGUAACUGUCCUUUAUUACUGAAUUGGGGUUCUUGUAGGCUUAUGACCCCUUCGAACUUCCCUUUUACAUAAUUAUAAAGACUAUUUAUAAUCUACUAGGUAAGUGUUAGGAGAUAUUCCUGAAGUGUGAAACUAUGAAAUAACAUCCUGAAAAUGUACCGAGGCCUUUGUAUUCUGCUACAAAAUCUGGAUACUUCACAAGACUCAGAAUCAUUUCUGCUGCGUCCAGACAGAUGGCUGUCGCUCUGCGGCCUGUCCUGACAGACCAGAGUCCCCUGCGGAGAAGAGACGCUCAGCUGAGGACCUGCUCCCCUCAGGUUAGACGGAUGAAGGAGGACCCAGAAUAUCAUGGGCAGCGCUGCCCCUGGAGGGAGCCCUGGGGCUCGUGAGAAAGCAGGCAGAGGAAAUUAGCAAGCAGCACUCCGCCAUGACACCUGCUUCAGUCCUGCCUCCAAGUUCUUGCUUGGCUUUCUGCCUGGGCCUCCCCUGAUGACUGACUACAACCUGCAACCCAUAAGCCAGAUAAACCCUUUUUUUUUCUGAAAGGUGCUUUUGGUCAGCUACUUUUACCACAGUAACUGAGACAGAAUUGGUACCAGAAGUGGGUUGGUGGCGCUGAAGAGGCAUGAGCUUGGGCAUCUGGUCCCCCGCUGGUGUGUGUCACUGGGGCAGCGUGGAGACUAUAGUGUCUCCCUGACCCCGCCCCUGCUUUGUGUACUCUGUAAAAAGACAUAAUCUCCGCUUCCUGCCUGCUGCUCCCCCAUUGAAUUCCCCAUUGUUAUUGACUGCUAUCUCUCUCUGGAACCAUAAGCCCAAAUAAAACUCUUCCUUAAGUA